UAGGGAAUCUUCCACAAUGGACGCAAGUCUGAUGGAGCAACGCCGCGUGAGUGAAGAAGGUUUUCGGAUCGUAAAGCUCUGUUGUUGGUGAAGAAGGAUAGAGGCAGUAACUGGUCUUUAUUUGACGGUAAUCAACCAGAAAGUCACGGCUAACUACGUGCCAGCAGCCGCGGUAAUACGUAGGUGGCAAGCGUUGUCCGGAUUUAUUGUGCGUAAAGCGAGCGCAGGCGGAAUGAUAAGUCUGAUGUGAAAGCCCACGGCUCAACCGUGGAACUGCAUCGGAAACUGUCAUUCUUGAGUGCAGAAGAGGAGAGUGGAAUUCCAUGUGUAGCGUUGGAAUGCGUAGAUAUAUGGAAGGACACCAGUGGCUAAGGCGGGUCUCUGGUCUGCAACUGACGCUGAGGCUCGAAAGCAUGGGUAGCGAACAGG
RNAcentral lists this ribosomal RNA (429 nucleotides) under bacterium. RNAcentral describes it as "partial 16S ribosomal RNA". It matches the Rfam family "Bacterial small subunit ribosomal RNA", at positions 355 to 776 of the family's 1533-position model. The record is from RNAcentral.